CAGAUCGUCCCGGCACGAACGCCGGUUACCGUCCCGCUUCCGCGGGCGGGAAUCGGCGGAACGUCGCGGUCAACUUGUCUACCCCAUGUGAAACUUAUACCUUUGCUUCGGCAGCACCUUGCGGGCAACCGCUCGGGUAAGGCUGCCAGAGGCCCCCAUUUAAACUAGUUGAUGAAAUGUCAUGCUGUCUGAUACUUUUAAGUUCGAGAAAUCGAAUUAUGUUA
Molecule: unclassified non-coding RNA, 224 nt
Filed under: uncultured Orbiliales
Lineage: Eukaryota; Fungi; Ascomycota; Orbiliomycetes; Orbiliales
Description: sequence contains ITS1
Source: RNAcentral